This 395-nucleotide unclassified non-coding RNA is filed under the name soil metagenome. RNAcentral's name for it is "partial contains 5.8S ribosomal RNA, internal transcribed spacer 2, and large subunit ribosomal RNA". The stretch from base 1 to 120 matches the Rfam family "5.8S ribosomal RNA", at positions 35 to 154 of the family's 154-position model. The record is from RNAcentral.
GAUGAAGAACGUAGCGAAAUGCGAUAAGUAAUGUGAAUUGCAGAAUUCAGAGAAUCAUCGAAUCUUUGAACGCACCUUGCGCCUUUUGGUAUUCCGAAAGGCACACCUGUUUGAGCGUCAUGAAUACCUCAAUCUCCAUCUUUUCUUCGGAUUGAUGGGUGACUUGGAUGUUGAGCCCUGCUGGUAUGCUAUAUCAGCUGGCUUUAAACUUAUUAGCCGGCUCUGUACUGGAUCGGUUUGACUCGACGUGAUAAUAUUAUCGUUGAGGAUGCAUGUCUCAUGCAGCCGGAAAGUAUCAAAGCAGCUUCUAGCUUGCCUUUAGUGCACUUUUACAUUUUAGACCUCAGAUCAGGUGGGACUACCCGCUGAACUUAAGCAUAUCAAUAAGCGGAGGA